GAUUCUGGCUCAGGAUGAACGCUAGCGACAGGCCUAACACAUGCAAGUCAGGGGGCAGCACAAGGAGCAAUCUGAGGUGGCGACCGGCGCACGGGUGAGUAACACGUAUGCAACCUGGCUGUAAGAGGGGAAUAACCCGGAGAAAUCCGGACUAAUACCGCAUAAUACUUAGAAUCCGCAUGGAUUUUUAGUUAAACAUUUAUGGCUUACAGAUGGGCAUGCGUAUGAUUAGCUGGUUGGAGAGGUAACGGCUCCCCAAGGCAACGAUCAUUAGGGGUUCUGAGAGGAAGGUCCCCCACACUGGUACUGAGACACGGACCAGACUCCUACGGGAGGCAGCAGUGAGGAAUAUUGGUCAAUGGACGCAAGUCUGAGCCAAGCCAAGUCGCGUGAAGGAAGAAUGUCCUAUGGAUUGUAAACUUCUUUUGAAGGGGAAUAAAGUACGGUACGUGUACCGUUUUGUAUGUACCCUUCGAAUAAGGAUCGGCUAACUCCGUGCCAGCCGCCGC
Molecule: ribosomal RNA, 509 nt
Filed under: uncultured bacterium
Lineage: Bacteria
Description: bacterial SSU rRNA
Rfam family: Bacterial small subunit ribosomal RNA
Source: RNAcentral